CCUGCCCCUGAAAAUUUUAAUGGCCGCAGUAAUUUGACUGUGCAAAGGUAGCAUAAUCAUUAGUUUUUUAAUUAAAAGCUUGUAUGAAGGGUUGGACGAGAUAAAAUCUGUCUUUAUUUAAAUAAUAUAUAAUUUAAUUUUUAAGUUAAAAAGCUUAAAUUUUUAUAAAAGACGAGAAGACCCUAUAGAUCUUUAUAUUAUUAUAUUAUAAUUUUGUUUAAGAAUUUUAAUUUUUUUUUAUUUUAUAUAAUAUUUUAUUGGGGUAAUAAAAAGAUAAAAAAAAUUCUUUUUAAUAUUUAACAUUAAUUAAUGAAUUUAUGAUCCAAAUAUUUUGAUUAUAAGAUUAAGUUACCUUAGGGAUAACAGCGUAAUUUUUUUAGAGAGUUCAUAUCGAUAAAAAAGUUUGCGACCUCGAUGUUGGAUUAAAAAUUGUUUUAGGCGCAGAAGUUUAAAAAUUUGGUCUGUUCGACCAUUAAAUUUUUACAUGAUCUGAGUUCAGACCGGUGUAAGCCAGGUCGGUUUCUAUCUUUAUUUAUUUAAAAUAUUUUAGUACGAAAGGACCAAAUAUUUAAUAUAUUAAUAUUUAAAUUUUUGAAUAUUAUUAAAAAAU
Molecule: ribosomal RNA, 610 nt
Filed under: Papuadytes aff. simplex MB106
Lineage: Eukaryota; Metazoa; Arthropoda; Insecta; Coleoptera; Dytiscidae
Description: partial 16S ribosomal RNA
Rfam family: Bacterial large subunit ribosomal RNA (bases 359-517)
Source: RNAcentral